RNA transcript from Mus musculus (house mouse), 7775 nucleotides. It is a transcript of the gene named 3-ketodihydrosphingosine reductase, with no coding region annotated. The transcript is spliced from 10 exons. The record is from RefSeq and is marked validated. NCBI's taxonomy places the organism in Eukaryota, Metazoa, Chordata, Mammalia, Rodentia, Muridae.
AAAAAAGAGUCAAAAGACUGGGUCUCAAUGCUAAAUUCCAGCUCUAUACAGUCCAGUUCAUCAUCACAUGACCUGUCGGAAUGAUACCACUUUAGGCUCAUAGAUCCCCCUUGGACUCCACGUCUCAAAGAAUGACACUUCAAGAGGGGCUUUAAAAGCAGCACACCAAGUCUAUGGGAGGCUACAACAGUAGCUUUGUGUUUGAGCCCUCCCACCUGCCCUGGGCACUGUUUCUUGGUGUACUGAUCUGUUUCCUUCCCUGUGAUAAACAUAAUCAGGAGUGUGACAGCUUUUCUGGAGCACUACGAGUCCAUCCAACAAACUUCCCUUCAACCAGAGGGGUUGGGAGCCCUUCAACUUCCACCUAGUUUUACAGGUCCUGGGAAUUGUUCCCUCACAUCUAUGAACUAACACUGGGCACAGAUCAAUAAAAGAAAAAGAUUAAUUCCUUUUGCUGUUUGUAACCACAACUACAUUUCUUUAAAUAAAAAAAAAAAAAAGGAAAAAUAUUUACCAAAAAAACAAAACCCACUAUGGAAAGGUUUUAAUAAUCCUGAGGAAAAGAGUUUUGGAGUAGAGGGUUUGAAAGUCUGGAGUUGACCUAGCUGAGUGAAAAGUUAUGCUACUACUUAAGAAAAUGGUCUGGCAGAGCCCUUCAAAUGCUGUUGCAGAGUGGCUUGAGGGCCAGCGAUGAGAGAGCCAAAGCAUGCACACUCAAAAGCUUAUAUGUGAAAGUACAUAGAUUUGGGAUUUAAUACCUUACUGUGACACAAUAGCACAGGUUGUUCUUUGUUACGAUUAUAAUACAAUAUGGAUAGCCAGCUAUAUUGAGAAAUAGAGUUUAAAAUCUCUGGCUACCCAGUGAACCCUCCAAGUGUUGGAGGUUUGUUUUGCUCAAAUGAGCUUUGGCCAAAGGCUAGAUGUUAGCUUUAUAUCAUCCUAAUCCAGAAAGUAAGUUCUUUCUUUGCUUUGGGGAGGUUUAAUAGGAAUGGCUUUGUUUAAAGGAGGCUGGCCAUACAUGACCUUACCAAAAAUGUAUUCAGUGAGUGUGAUGGUGAACGCCAAGACAUACUAGUAGAGGUCAGAGGACAACCUACCUUGUGGGGCCAGAGGGAUCUAGCACAGGACUUAAAGCUUUCUAGCAAAAGACCUUCCUUCCUUUUGGAUCCAGUAGCUUUUUUUUUCUUUUGUUAUUGUUUUGAUCAAAAAGUGAUGAGUGAAAAAAUAAUCUAGCCUACACUAGGAUAUUAUCAACAAUAAAAAGAAAUUAAAUACUGAUAGGUACAGUAUGGAAGAAUCUUAGUAUGCUAAGUCAAAGAAGCUAGGCACUGCAGAGGGCAUAUUAUUAGAACUCCACUUGUAUGAAUAGACAAGUCCAGAGAGCUUUGUGAUUGCCUAUAACUGCACCAUUUAAGAGAAAAUGAGCUGGGCGUUGUGGUGCACGCGUUUAAUCCCAGCACUCGGGAGGCAGAGGCAGGUGGAUUUCUGAGUUCGUGGCCAGCCUGGUCUACAAAGUGAGUUCCAGGACAGCCAGGGCUAUACAGAGAGAGAGAGAGAGAAACUGAACUGUGACUGUUAAUGACUAUAGGGUUGCUGUGUAGGGCGACAAAAGACUGUGGCGAUAGUUUAGACACUAAACUAAAACUAUUUUAAGUCGGUGGACCAGAUGUUGGAAUUAAAUCUCUACAACGGUGGCUCCCCGCGCCUCCGCGUUUGCAUCUGCUUUGGUUACAGGAUGUAUGUACAGUUUUCAGCGAAAUUCAAUUAUCAGAAAUCCAAGUCAACGCUCAAAGCGAAAGGGAGCGGUGACCAUUUUCUGAGUGAGCCAUAAAUACACGAACUGGAAUCUGUGAUUUCAAAGAAGAAUACCAGGACUUAGGCACAGAACAAAAUCCGUGGAUCCAAAAGCCACCGUUUGCAAGCCUCCCACGACGUUGGCGGGCGGGCCAACGGGGAGGCCAAGUACCCGGAGCCUACGCACGCACAGCCUGCGCAGCCGCAGCCUGAAGCUGAAGGGGGCGCGGGCCCAGGAGCUAGUCCGACAGCGGAGACCGCCCCGCCCAGGCUCCUCCUCUUCCCUUCGCCGCCGUCCCGCCCUCGCUCGCAAACCCAAACACUCCCGGCUGCUGGUGCAUGUGAUCUCCCAGUAGUCGCUCGGCAGAGAUGUUGCUGUUGGCCGCUGCCGGCCUCGUGGCCUUCGUGCUGCUCCUCUACAUGGUGUCGCCGCUCAUCAGUCCCAAGCCCCUCGCGCUGCCCGGCGCGCACGUAGUGGUCACAGGAGGCUCCAGUGGCAUUGGGAAGUGCAUUGCUAUUGAGUGCUACAAACAAGGAGCAUUUAUAACUCUGGUUGCACGAAAUGAGGACAAGCUACUGCAGGCGAAGAAAGACAUUGAAAAGCACUCUAUUAAUGACAAACAGGUGGUGCUGUGUAUCUCAGUUGAUGUGUCUCAAGACUAUAACCAAGUGGAGAAUGUCAUAAAGCAGGCACAAGAGAAGCUGGGUCCUGUGGACAUGCUGGUCAACUGUGCAGGCACCUCUAUGUCAGGAAAGUUUGAAGAGCUUGAAGUUAGUAGUUUUGAGAAAUUAAUGAGCAUAAAUUACCUGGGCAGCGUGUACCCCAGCAGGGCAGUAAUCACUACCAUGAAGGAGCGACGGGUGGGCAGGAUCGUGUUUGUGUCCUCUCAGGCAGGACAGCUGGGACUGUUUGGUUUCACGGCCUACUCUUCAUCCAAGUUUGCCAUAAGAGGAUUGGCAGAAGCUCUGCAGAUGGAGGUGAAGCCGUACAAUGUGUACGUCACUGUGGCCUACCCACCAGACACCGACACGCCGGGGCUGGCUGAGGAAAACAAAACGAAGCCCCUGGAGACCCGGCUUAUCUCAGAGACCACAGCUAUUUGCAAACCAGAGCAGGUGGCCAAACAAAUUGUCAAAGAUGCCAUAUACCGUUCCCCAGCUGAAGAGUUCUGAAUCCACGCCGGAUCCUUCUCAACAGUCUGUUUUACGGGAACUUUUAUUAACCACUCCUUCCCCGUGAUGCAGUUCUGAAUCCUCCCUGUAGCAGGGGGUCUUCACUCAUGCCUGAAGAUGUUUCUUGUCCCGGGUUUCGGCACCAACUUGUUGCGCGCGCUCAACUGGCCAGGAAGAACGACGCUGCUACAGGAUCCUUCUGCACACGUUUAUUCAGUCCUGUUUCUUCUUUCUCUAUAUUUCCCUUGUUUAUAUCUCCCUUGUUUAUAUCUCUCCCUUGUUUAUAUCUCUCCCUUGUUUUUAUAUCUCCCUUGUUUAUAUCUCCCUUGUUUUUAUAUCUCCCCCGAACCCUGGGCCUCUCACUCUUUUAUACUCUCAGUUCCCAUCCACGCACAGCAGGCCACGCCACCUCACCAGGCACGCAGCUUCAGCUAAUCAGGGCAGCAGGGGCAAAUCUCCACCAAAUUGGAUUCACCUGUAUCCUGGUACACCUGCGCAGCACUCAAGAUGUUUGUGGCUUAUAUGAGGAAGUCAGGUGCAAGUCAUAUGACUUAGCUGCAGUCUCUGGCGCCUUUGGGACUGCCGCCACACCCGCUCCCCACACAAGUAAAUAAAUAUACAUUUAAAAAAAAGAACAGGUCUGCAGAGGUGGCUUGGUAAGUUCUACAAGCACAGGACCCCACUUCAGAAGCCACAUGAGCCUCCACUCCCACCCCUUUCUGGCCUUCUUGGACACGGUACCAUUACAUACAUGGUGCACAUGCAUACACGCAGGCACCCACACAUACAUAUGUUUUAAUUUUAAAUCUUAAAACAACAACAAAAGGACUGAGUUCCUAGCAGUAACAUAAAAGCCAGUAAGCCAGUAUGGUUGUUCCUGUCUGUAACCCAAGUCCUGUGUGGACAGACCGGCAGAUCCCCAGAUCUUGUGAGCCAGCCAACCCAUCCAGUCUGUGAGCCUAGCCAGGGUCAUUUUGAGACCCGUUCACAAAAGAUAAGGUGUAGAGUGAUUGAGGUAGAUACCCAACAUUGACCUGUGAUUCCCCACACAUGUGCCCACAGACAUGUAGUUUGCCCUGGUUGCCUUUAGAGACUUGGAGCAGUGGCACAGAGGCAUGAAAGGCUAAUUUGCUUUUCCCUCAAGUCAGAACAAGCACCCUCAAGGUGCUGCUGCUGCUGCUGCUGCUGCUGCUGCAUUGUCUUAAGAUGCUGGUACUUGCCAUGCGUGUGCAUGGUGUUGGGUUCCAUCACCAGCAGAAGAAGAUGGGGAAGAGAUUUAGCUAGGAGAUAAAGUCAUUUGAAAUCAAAGAAAUUGAGACUGGGGAAUUGCCACAGUGAUUAAAAGCACUUGUUCUUGUAAAAGGCUCUAGAUUCAUUUCCCACCACCACAUGGAGGCUCAGCAGUUCCUCAAGUGUCAUGUUGUACCCAGACAUGCAUGCCGUCAACACACACUCACACACACACACACACACACAGAGAGAGAGAGAGAGAGAAUAAAACUUAACUAUAUUAUUAACUCCAUUUUUAAAUAGCUUUAUUUGUUCUUUUAAUGUAUCUUUGUGCCUGAGUGUAUGUAUGUAUGUGCAAUGCCUGCAGAGGCCAGGAGAACACCACAUCCCUUGGACUGGAUGUAUAGGCAUUGUCCCCUCUCUUUAUGGUUUCUUUUUAAGUGUGUGUGUGUGUGUGUGUGUGUGUGUGUGUGUGUAACACUCAGAAGACAGAUUUGAGGAGUCAUUAUUUCCUUCACUGGGGUUCUGGGAUCAGACUCAAGUGGCAAGAGCUCUCGUCCGCGGAGUCCUGCCUUUUCUCAGUUUCUCUUCAUAUGGGGCUCCAGUAGCUUCAGCCUCAAUAGCAGCUGAGGGUGACCUUGAACUACUGACUUCCCACUUCUCAGUGCUGAUAUAACUACUAUGUGUGGCUCAAACAUAGCUAUUUUCAAACAGAAAUUCAUCAGGAGGAGUGGCAUGGUAUUUUCACGAGCCUUUACAAAGUCCACACUAGUGGAUGCCAGCUGCUUUCUCGUGUCUGCUUCUGUGGCCAAUCUGUUAAAUACAUUCAUUUUGAAACAUUUGAAGAAAAUGUGACUUUAAUCAGAUACAUAGUUGGGAGGGGAUAAAGUUUUCACGGGAUUUUCAGAUAAUUAUGAACAUAAUGUUCUUUCUGUUUUUAUUUUUAUAUUAACCCCCAUCUUGACAAUUAGGGGUUUCUUAAAGGUUGGUUGCUGUAUGAAAUUAGAAACCACACACCAGUGAGCUUUUUGUUCUCGGUGACACUAAAAUGCAUGUCUCGUUUCUAUGUUGAAUGGAUCUUUCACUCAUUCAUCAUUUGAAAACAUGCAUUAAUCAUUUGGAAAAUAUGGAAUCUGUGAGUUAUCAAAAGUCACAUUCAUCAGAGAUCAGGGAAAUAUCAGGAAGCCAACUGUCUCCUACUGAUGGAUAAAGUUUUCAUAAGUCUUAACUUUUCCCCAUGCACAUAUAUAAUCUGUGGUCUUCUUCCUAGCCACAAGUUCAGUUCAUUUGUCUGCCCUAUCUGUGCCUCAAGCCCAAAUUGGAAUGUUCUAGCCUCCUGGUAAAUAGUUGUUAACAGGAAAAUAGUUUUGUCAGGAAGCUCAGCUCUGAGGUGUUCCCAGUUAAGCUAAAUCACUCGUGGUGAAUUUCUUAUUUGUCACCUGAGAACAGGAGUCCUCUUCCCAGUGUCCUCCAGGAGAUGGGCCACAACCAGCCAGAUGUCAGAUGCUGCUGGUUCCUGGGUAUGAUGCUAUGUGUACUCUCCUGUGUAUAUACCUGUGAAAUAGCCUAGCUGGGGAUGGAGCUCAUUGGUAGAGUAAUAGUCUAGUAUGUAUGAAGCCCUGGUUCCUCCCUAGUACCAUAUAAACUGAGAACACAUGCCUAUAAUCCCAGCACUUGAGGAGUAGAUAAGAGAGGAUUGAAAUUCAGGGUCAUCCUCAGUUACAAAGUGAGCUCAAGGGCAGCCUGAAAUCCUGCCUCAAAAACAAACCCCAAACCUGUUUAAUGAAUGGAUUAGGCCCCUGGUUCUAUUGAGGAGCAAAGAAGUGAUACAUAUCCCACGUGGGGCAGAGCUGGGCAGCCCAAGAUGCUGGGGUAUCAUGCAGACAGCAUGCAGUUGACCCCUUCUGAACCACUUCUUAAAUACAAAGCGUCUUUUGGGCUCUUAAAGACUUUUUUAGAGUGUGUGUGUGUGUGUGUGUGUGUUUUCAUUGCUGUGGUGGUGGUGGCACUGGCUGCAUUAGGGCCACACUCUCAGAAACUCUCCUUUGUGCUGUGGUGCUUUUGUCCAUAUGCACAAAGGUCAGUGGGAAAGCAGCUAACGUCUCAGUGUUAUUUGACGGUUUCAUUGUCCCUAGAGACCCUGAAAGGGUCAGGAACCCACAGGGAUCUGUGGACUUGUACUUUCAGAGCUGGACAUACUUUACGUCUCUGUGUCCCUUUUUAGUUCUGGUAUAUUUUGAGUCGCUGUGCUGUCCCUUAUAAAGUGAAGGGACAUACUUCCCUGUUCCUCAGUGCUGAACUAAUUCCUACAAACUUACUCCAUACCACUCUUUUCUGCUUGCUUCUUUCCUAGCAAGGAAAUUUUAACAGUUCUAUUGGCUCAGAUGGGUACAUGCUGUCCUCCCUGACCUGUGGGAUGGCCCCGGUGACUUCCAUCACUGAAGGACUCCAGCAGGUGGUCACCAUGGGCCUUUUCCGAACAAUUGCCUUGUUUUACCUUGGAAGUUUCGAUAAUAUAGUUCGCCGCUGCAUGGUGCAGAAAGCAAAACCUGAAGUUGUAGACAAAACUGCCUAAACCUUGCCCCUUGGAUGAAAGACUGAAUCCAGUGAUUUGAACAGUGUGCUGCUAAUGGAACACAAGUUUUGGCCUCCAGACUUUUGUAUCUUGUUUUUGAAUGUGUGAGAUUGGACCCCGUGCUCUUCAGAAAUCUGGCUGUAAGCAGAGGGACAUGAGGCCAUCUCUACAACUGUUAAACACUAUGCAAAUAUGGGCCAGGACACCUUUGAUUUUCUGGGCUGUAGGGGUGAUAGUGUGAGAACUAAUAACAGGAAAGCAGGGUAAAGAAUAGCAUUCCAGAACAGUAAAUUCAGCUUUUCGGUCAUUCUCCCAUCCUACCCAUAGAGAUCAAGAAAUGUCCUCUGUGGCGUUUCUGAGGUUUUGUUUUGUUUGUUUUUUGUUUUUGUUUUGUUUUGCUUUUUUUUUUUUUUUUUUUGAUUUUGGGUUUUAACUUUUUAUGAAAGAUGGUCCGGAUUUUUAUUAGUCUUUUUUUCUUUUUUGUAAUUUUUUUAGUGUAUGUUAUUCAAGGUGUGUCUUCCGAGUAGCCCAUGAGUCUGACUCUCAGCAUGCCUUGCUGCGCCUGGGACUCGCUUCUGCUAGUGAAGCUGGUUUCUCUCUCUUUGAUCCCAUAAAAUUCGAGGGGGAUGAGAGAGCAGCACAGAGGGCAAGGGGUGAGUCCUUUGUGACGGCAAGCGGGGCUUUCUUGUCUUCUUAGACUGAUGCUUACAACGUUUUCAUUUUUAUUCAAGGGGAAAGGCAGCCUCUUUACGUGUUUCGUGAAGAGAAAUAAAAUCUCCUAGCAGCUUAAGUUACAGUUUCUUCAGGAGCCAUGAUGACCUGAAGUUCACAUUCCAUUUCAGCUCAGUUCCUAGUGCUUAUCGCUCUUCCUAGUUUUGCUUAUGCUACUGUAAUAUUUUUGUAGAAGAAAGGAAGGAAGAAAAAAAAGAUGGAGAUCAGUGCAAAUGUUUUUGACUUUUUUAAUUAAUCCAUGAAUUAAUUAAAAUAAAAAAAUGAAAAGCAU